GACGAACGCUGGCGGCGUGCUUAACACAUGCAAGUCGAACGGAAAGGCCCUGCUUUUGUGGGGUGCUCGAGUGGCGAACGGGUGAGUAACACGUGAGUAACCUGCCCUUGACUUUGGGAUAACUUCAGGAAACUGGGGCUAAUACCGGAUAGGAGCUCCUGCUGCAUGGUGGGGGUUGGAAAGUUUCGGCGGUUGGGGAUGGACUCGCGGCUUAUCAGCUUGUUGGUGGGGUAGUGGCUUACCAAGGCUUUGACGGGUAGCCGGCCUGAGAGGGUGACCGGGCAGAGGGGGGAUGAGUGGAGGAACGGACGGCUGCGUGAUGCAGCAGUGCGGAAUGCGGCACGACGGCCGGAGGGGUGAUACAGGCACGCGGCGGGGGGGAGGAGGGCGUGCCGGUAGUGGACAGAGAACGCCCGUCCCACAGCGUGCAAGACGCUGAGGGAUAAAAAAGAACCGGCUAACUACAUG
This 468-nucleotide ribosomal RNA is filed under the name uncultured bacterium. Its description in RNAcentral is "partial 16S ribosomal RNA". It matches the Rfam family "Bacterial small subunit ribosomal RNA", at positions 28 to 507 of the family's 1533-position model. The record is from RNAcentral.